This 257-nucleotide unclassified non-coding RNA is filed under the name Pyrenophora sp. RNAcentral's name for it is "partial internal transcribed spacer region". The stretch from base 1 to 46 matches the Rfam family "Eukaryotic small subunit ribosomal RNA", at positions 1786 to 1831 of the family's 1831-position model. The record is from RNAcentral. Lineage: Eukaryota; Fungi; Ascomycota; Dothideomycetes; Pleosporales; Pleosporaceae.
AAGUCGUAACAAGGUCUCCGUAGGUGAACCUGCGGAGGGAUCAUUACCCAAAUAUGAAGGCCGAUGGGGCCAGCCCUUUGUUGGGUAUGCCCCGUCUGGCGCCAUAUUCACCCAUGUCUUUUUGCGUACUACUUGUUUCCUUGGUGGGUUCGCCCGCCAUUAGGACCUUUACUCAACCCUUUUUUUGCAAUUGCCAUCAGCGUCAGCAAAACAAUGUAAUCAAUUUACAACUUUCAACAACGGAUCUCUUGGUUCUG